CCUANGGGGGGCAGCAAUUAGGAAUCUUGCGCAAUGGGGGAAACCCUGACGCAGCGACGCCGCGUGAGCGAUGAAGUCUUUCGGGAUGUAAAGCUCUGUCCUGUGGGGAAGAAGAAUGUGACGGUACCCGCAGAGAAAGCCCCGGCUAACUACGUGCCAGCAGCCGCGGUAAUACGUAGGGGGCGAGCGUUGUCCGAAUUUACUGGGCGUAAAGCGCGUGUAGGCGGUUCUUUAAGUCAGGUGUGAAAUCCCGUGGCUCAACCACGGAACUGCAUUUGAAACUGAAGGGCUUGAGUGUGGGAGAGGAAAGUGGAAUUCCUGGUGUAGCGGUGAAAUGCGUAGAUAUCAGGAGGAACACCCGUGGCGAAGGCGGCUUUCUGGCCCACCACUGACGCUGAGACGCGAAAGCUAGGGGAGCGAACGGGAUUAGAUACCCUANUANUC
RNAcentral lists this ribosomal RNA (444 nucleotides) under uncultured bacterium. RNAcentral describes it as "bacterial SSU rRNA". It matches the Rfam family "Bacterial small subunit ribosomal RNA", at positions 338 to 795 of the family's 1533-position model. The record is from RNAcentral.